This 24-nucleotide non-coding RNA is filed under the name Arabidopsis thaliana (thale cress). Lineage: Eukaryota; Viridiplantae; Streptophyta; Magnoliopsida; Brassicales; Brassicaceae. The record is from RNAcentral.
CAUACUCGUCAGGAAACUCCCCAC